UUUGGCGACGUUGACCUGCUCGGAUUGCGACCAGAGUUUGCCGAUGGCUUCACGAAUGGUCGGAUGCCACAUUACGGCACGGGUGACCGCGUCGUUGAGCGUCAGCGUGCCGGGCGCAGCGGCCGCCAGUUUCAGCGAGGCGCUGCCGUCCAGUGCGGGGAGCUCCUGCUCUUCGGCGAGCCCCUGAGUGGUGAUGAACUGCGGUGCGUCUUCGGCGUAGACCUGGGCUGAACACAGGCAACACGCCAGCCACCAGGCCACGGGCUGUAAUUUUCCCAUAUUUUGUCCCUAAUAAAGCAAAUCUGACGUUUACGCCCCGGACGUACGUGCGUCCGGGGCUGUAGG
Yokenella regensburgei ATCC 43003 is the source of this 345-nucleotide non-coding RNA. Lineage: Bacteria; Pseudomonadati; Pseudomonadota; Gammaproteobacteria; Enterobacterales; Enterobacteriaceae. The record is from Rfam.